GGCCCCGUAGCUCAGCUGGAAGAGCAGGUCCGUCCUAAGGACACGGUCGGGAGUUCGAGUCUCUCCGGGGUCG
Molecule: transfer RNA, 73 nt
Filed under: Hyphomonadaceae bacterium
Lineage: Bacteria; Pseudomonadati; Pseudomonadota; Alphaproteobacteria; Hyphomonadales; Hyphomonadaceae
Description: tRNA-Arg
Rfam family: tRNA
About the family: Transfer RNA (tRNA) molecules are approximately 80 nucleotides in length. Their secondary structure includes four short double-helical elements and three loops (D, anti-codon, and T loops).
Source: RNAcentral